This 468-nucleotide ribosomal RNA is filed under the name uncultured bacterium. RNAcentral describes it as "partial 16S ribosomal RNA". It matches the Rfam family "Bacterial small subunit ribosomal RNA", at positions 28 to 507 of the family's 1533-position model. The record is from RNAcentral.
GACGAACGCUGGCGGCGUGCUUAACACAUGCAAGUCGAACGGACAGGCCCUGCUUUUGUGGGGUGCUCGAGUGGCGAACGGGUGAGUAACACGUGAGUAACCUGCCCUUGACUUUGGGAUAACUUCAGGAAACUGGGGCUAAUACCGGAUAGGAGCUCCUGCUGCAUGGUGGGGGUUGGAAAGUUUCGGCGGUUGGGGAUGGACUCGCGGCUUAUCAGCUUGUUGGUGGGGUAGUGGCUUACCAAGGCUUUGACGGGUAGCCGGCCUGAGAGGGUGACCGGCCACAUUGGGACUGAGAUACGGCCCAGACUCCUACGGGCGGCAGCAGUGGGGAAUAUUGCACAAUGGGCGGAAGCCUGAUGCAGCAACGCCGCGUGCGGGAUGACGGCCUUCGGGUUGUAAACCGCUGUCGCCUGUGACGAAGCGUGAGUGACGGUAAUGGGUAAAGAAGCACCGGCUAACUACGUG